RNAcentral lists this long non-coding RNA (1049 nucleotides) under Nicotiana tabacum (common tobacco). Its description in RNAcentral is "long non-coding RNA (NTAB_LNC006725)". Lineage: Eukaryota; Viridiplantae; Streptophyta; Magnoliopsida; Solanales; Solanaceae. The record is from RNAcentral.
AACAAACUAAUUUCGAAACCAUCAUCUUUUGAAUUCCUAAACAUUGAUUAAUACAAAGAUUCAUAUUGAAAUCGAUUAACAGAACCAAGCAUUAACUCAAUCCAAGCAUACAAAUUAACCUGGCAUUGAGCCAUGACUAUAGACGAAACAACACUGUUAAUCCAAAUUUAGAAUCAAUGAUCUUCAGGCUACCAAACACGGACGUCAAUUUAUCAUUUAAGCAUAUUUACUACCCUGGCAAUCAGAGAUUAGCCAAGCUGUAUUUAGCACCAGAACACUCAAAUGAUAUUAUACAAAUCAGUUUCAAUUAAUUCAUUCGAACAAAUUCUCACAUACUCCAUAAUUAGAUUGACUUAGCAUUUAUCAUUUAGAUCCACAUGAAAGCAGUAAAGGAUAAGAUAUGAACCUGAAAACCGAAAUUUCGAUUAUCCUUUGAUGUUCGAAUGUGAUACAAGCAGUAGAAAGCUAAGAAACGAGCUUGAAAGAAAAAUCAACUACUGAAAUCUGAGCCUUAACAACAGCCGCGACGGACUCGAAUAAACCCCGACUCAAUCAAAAUUCGAACGACCACUCAGCUUCANNNNNNNNNNNNNNNNNNNNNNNNNAACCGAUCCUAGUUUCUUCUAGUUUCCUCCUAAAGACCUCUGAAAAAGCCUCUAUAUAUACCCUUACCUCCAGAUUCUUUCUUCCUCUUCAAGAAAUCGGAUAAAGCCCCUUUGAAAACGAGCACCUGAUGAAUGUGAGGCUCAGAUUGAAUGAAAUCGAUCCGACGCCUCUUACUCAUCCAACACACCUUCUAGAGCCUUCUAACGCGUGAUUUAGCUUGCAAACGGGCGACUAAGGGAGGGUAGUUGUCGAUUAGGAAUAUUCCUUCGGCACAGGCCGUUAGGAUUUUGUGACGUGGAAAAGGGAUAGAGACAGGGUGACCAUGUGCGGGUUUAGGGGUAAACUCGCCUGAAAUUCAGACGAGUUUUGGGCGAUUUUGGGCUAGGCAGAGGCGGAGAUGGGGUGGGCGCCAUUUUGGUUGUGUCUUAGGGUUUGGGGAGUGU